Molecule: ribosomal RNA, 668 nt
Filed under: Kondoa yuccicola
Lineage: Eukaryota; Fungi; Basidiomycota; Agaricostilbomycetes; Agaricostilbales; Kondoaceae
Description: eukaryotic LSU rRNA
Rfam family: 5.8S ribosomal RNA (bases 216-370)
Source: RNAcentral
UCCGUAGGUGAACCUGCGGAAGGAUCAUUAGUGAAACACAAGAGUGCUCUUUAUUGAGGCUCGUUUUAACUAUCCAUUACACUUAGUGCACUUGAAAACACCUUCAAACUCGUUCAUCCCUUUUAACGGGGAUAACUCGUUUGAUUGUAUUUACUUUAACCCCUUUGAAAUUUUAAACAAAGAUGAUGAUGUAUAACCAUGAAAUUUGAAAGAACAACUUUCAGCAACGGAUUUCUUGGCUCUCGCAUCGAUGAAGAACGCAGCGAAAUGCGAUACGUAAUGUGAAUUGCAGAACUCAGUGAAUCAUCGAAUUUUUGAACGCACCUUGCGCUCUCUAGUUAUUCUGGAGAGCAUGCUUGUUUGAGUGUCGCGAACCUCUCAACCCCGCCAAAGGCUUUAUUGACUUUGGUUGUUUGGGCUUGGAUCAUGGUCUCUUGUUGUGACUUUUGUUAGAAACAACUGGACUGAAAUACAACAAGUUGGAUAAACCCUAUUGCGGCUUGACCUGAUGUUGUAACUUACUCAUCGGGGACGCGAAAGGUUGUUUAAGGAACUUUAACAGAAACCCUUAUGUUGUUUAAAGUCUUUCGGGACUCUAUUCAAUACAUUUAUGACCUCAAAUCAAGUAGGACUACCCGCUGAACUUAAGCAUAUCAAUAAGCGGAGGA